GUAACUUCAAAGAUGGCAUAGCUGAUAGAUGGUAAAAUGGUGGGGCUGGAAUACAACCCAAGAAGACUACUAAGAUUUGAGGUUCCAAUUAAAACUGUGUUUGGGCCAUUGCAUUACUGCCUGCUAGUGCUUAAUCUUCACCGAAAAUCUCGUCACUUAUUUUAAAACAAAAGAAGAACAAAGAUGAAGUAAAGAACAACGCCGAGUCUAUGUCUUCCACAGAUCACCAUUUAAGUUAAGUUUAUCAAAUUUGUGUUGAUUACUUAUUUCAUUCUAGGCAAUGCCUCUAGGUUUGGGGAUAUAGGAUGAAUAAAACAUGACUUUUAUCAUCUUGGAUCAUACAAUUAUUGAGGAAGCCAAGCAUGUAUAUCAUUUGAAUACGAUCUGUUGAGCAUUCUGAAAGAGAUCUUUGCAACAUGGUAUUGGAAACUUAAAGAGGGAGAUUCAACCCACCUUGGCAGGGAGGUUAAGCCAAUGAAAAGACACUUGAAAAGAUAAUGCCUAAGCUAUCAAAAAAUGAGUGGAAAACAGCCAGGCAAAAAAAAAAAAAAAAAGAUGCAGAGUUUUAUAGAACAGCAGGAAGAAGAGUACAAAGGCACAGAUAUAAUUAAAAUGAAGGUCAUCUCCCUUGGUGUGUGAUAUGGCAAUAAAACAA
RNAcentral lists this long non-coding RNA (655 nucleotides) under Homo sapiens (human). RNAcentral's name for it is "HSALNT0408660". Lineage: Eukaryota; Metazoa; Chordata; Mammalia; Primates; Hominidae. The record is from RNAcentral.